UAUCUGCAGAAAAAGAAGUCCAUUUAUCCAUGAAUGUUGAUCACCUUUGGCUCCAAAUAUAAAAAUCAGGAUAAACAUCGUGUCUAGAUACACUUCCAUGUAGGAUCCAACCAACAACACAUGUCUCCCUAGAGUUGAUCACUCCAACAUAGUCCAAGAAACAACUUGCUGAGGAUAAUCCAAUCCUGUAUGACUUCCUGUUCAAUCCAACCUUUACAAAAGCAUAAAAACAAUGGAUUAAAUUUUUUAUUUAUGUUUUAAAAUAAGUGGAUAUAGUUGAUGCAUCAUAGGAUAGUUAUCAGUGGGAAGGAAGUUGGCUUGUAUAUAUGACAAGCAGUUGUAAUAAUUAUAGUGCUAAUAUAGUUGUAAAGGUGGUAAGAGGUAGAGGAUGAUGAGGCAGGAGAACAAGAGCCUAAGGAAAUAAAAAGUCAUUCAACAUUAAGAAAUGUAAGGUGAAAAAAUAUCCAACAAAUAAUUGGAACACAUUUAGGUGGUACUCUUUUUUUUUUCUUACCUUCUUUGAGUUUGGUGUCUACAUGCUUAAACAAGUCUUAAUAUACAUGACAACAUCAUAAGCAUGUUAAGGUUAAUUUUCUCCAACGUGGUAGGUAUUUUAAUUAGUCAUUUUCCCGUUUGGGAAAUCGGCCAGCUGAAAGCGGAAGCAGAUAGGCAAGAAGAAAGACCAAGUCCAUGAUAAUCAAUGCUUCUCGGCUUACUGAAACUCUCUUUCCUCUGGAGGUCUGUAUCAUCAUCUUCUGAGUUGGUAUGUCGGCAUCGUGUGAAGUCCAGUCGAGAGACUAUUAUAUCCCCUUUGGCUACUUUCGGGCUAUAUAUACCAUCAACUCACCCAACAAGCCAACAUAUUGGUUUCCUUCUCUAACUUACUGCUAUCCACCUGGACAAUCUAUUCGUCUUUAUUUGAUGUAUAGUACUUACGGUAUUGGACUAAGAUACCCACCUUUCAUCCUCUGGGUAAGACUCGGUGCGUGCUGGAUCGCAAGACCAAGGUGUUGGGGCUCAUAUUAAGGAGGCGGAUACGUUGGCGAAGAAGCUCCAAAUCAUGACGUCAUGGACCGCACACGUUGCGAUCAGGAUAAUAUUUAAAAGGAGGGAUCUUUCGUCUAUGGAUAUCAAAAAAAAGGAUGUAAAUACUUGUCACCUCGGAGGAAAAAAAUUUAUGUAUGAUAUGAGGAAAAUUGGUCAUAUAUAUUUCAUAAAUGAUGCCAUAUGUUACCAAGGCAUGGCCAGUUCUUAAUGAAAUAAUUACAUCGAUUAGUAUCUUCAAGAAUGGGUCCUUUGGGUAAAACUAUUAUUGAUGAUAAUCAAUAUAAUAUUUUGAGGAUAAUGGCA
Long non-coding RNA from Chelonus insularis, 1350 nucleotides. RefSeq lists it as uncharacterized. The transcript has 3 exons. Lineage: Eukaryota; Metazoa; Arthropoda; Insecta; Hymenoptera; Braconidae. The record is from RefSeq and is a predicted model, not a curated record.